Molecule: long non-coding RNA, 4769 nt
Filed under: Sus scrofa (pig)
Lineage: Eukaryota; Metazoa; Chordata; Mammalia; Artiodactyla; Suidae
Description: lncRNA (ENSSSCG00015013981.1)
Source: RNAcentral
UUUUUUUUUUUUUUUUUUUUUUUUUAAAUGGCCUCUCCACAGUAUGUGGAAGUUCCCAGGCCAGGGGUUCAAUCCAAGCCGCAGUUGCAUUGGUUGCAGCUGCUGGCUAUGCCGGAUCCUUUAACGCCAUGCGCAGGACUGGGGAUCAAACUGUGCCACCACAGCGAUCCAAGCUGCUGCUGUCAGAUUCUUCACCCACAGUGCCACAGCAGGAACUCCCAUGCCCACAAUUUUUGUUUCCAUGAAAAUAAAACCAUAUAGACUAGAUCAAUGGUUCUCCAUUUGCUUUUGUCCCCCUCCCAGGGAACAUCUGGCAACAUCUGGGGACAUUGUGAUCGUCAAAACUGGGGCAGGCAGUGCUCCUGGCAUCAAGGGGUAGAGAUCAAGGAUGCUGCUAGACAUCCUGCAAUGCCCAGGCCAGUGUCCAUAGCCGCUGUCUAGCCCCAAACAUCAAGAGGCCAAGGUGAAGAAACUCUGGUUUGGACCAGGGUUCAGCCGAUGACAGCCCCUGCUAGCCAGCUGCCUGCUUUGUUUUUCUGGUUUUUUCAUGUUUUAAAGUUUUACUGAAGGCUAGUUGAUUUACAACAACUAGCUGUACAACAAAGUGAUUCAGUUACAUGUAUGGAGUUGCCUGUUUUUAUCAAUAUAAAUACACUUUUAUUGGAACCCAGUGAUGUCCAUUUAUUCACGUGUGGGUUCUGGCUGAUUUUGCCCCACAGCGACAGCUGAGUAGUUGUAACAGAGACUGCGUGGACCACAAAGCCUAAAAUUAAGGUGAGCCACAGAUGACAUUUUACGUUUUUCUGGUAUCUAGUUCUUCAAAGGACAAGGACAACUCCAUAGCAAAAGAAACAACUCGACUGAAAAAAAUGAGCAAAGGACCCGAAUAGACAUUUUUCCGAAGAAGACACAGAAAUGGCCAACAGGUACAUGAAAAUGUGCUCAACACUAAGCAUCAAGGAAAUGCAAAUUAAAAUCACCAUGAGAUAUCACCUCCUACCUGUUAGGAUAGCUAUAGUGACAAAGAAAAGGUAAGUGCUUGUGAGGCUAUGGAGAAAGGGAACCCCCCUGCACUGGUGGUGGGCAGGAAGUUGGUGCAGCAGCUGCGGAAAACAGUAUGAAGUUUCCUCAAAAAAUUGAAUAUACAACUACCAUAUGAUCCAGCAAUCCCUCUGCUAGACAUAUAUAAAAGGCAAUGAAAUCGUUGGUGUUUCAAGGAUAUAUCUGUGCCCCAGUGUUCACUGCAGUGUUAUUCACAAUAGCCAAGAUGUGGAAACAACCCAAAUGUCCAUUGACAGGGGAGUGGAUAAAGAAAUUGUAGUAUAUAUGGACAACAGAAUAUUAUCCAGCCAUAAAAAACGAGAUCUUGCCAUUUGCAACAACACGGAUGACACUGGAGGACAUUUUGCUAAGUGAAAUAAUCCAGACCUGAAAAGAAAAACAUUGCAUAAUCUCAUUUAUAUGUGGAACCUAAAAGAGUAAGAUACAUCGAAGCAGGAAGUAGAAUGGUGGUUACCAGGAUGGCAAGGUGGGGGAAACCGGAAGAUGCUGGUGAUAGGGUGCGAAGUUGCAAUUAUGUUGGAUGCGGGAAGUUAGAGAUCCAAGCUGCAGCAUGAUGGCUAUAGUUACUGAUACUGCAUAGUGUACUGGAAAUUUGUGAACAGUAGAUUUCAGGUACCCUGAUCACUCAAAAAAAGACGCUAUGUGAAGAGAUGGAUGUGUUAAUUUGCUGGACUGUAGGAAUCAUUUCACUAUGUACAUGCGUGGCCAGAUAUUAUGUUGUCCACCUCGAACAUAUACAAUUGCUACACCAUGCUGUACAGUAGAAAAAAAAUAAUAAUGUAUUGGGGAAAUAAAAUAAAUAAAUAAACAAAUAAAUGUAAAGAAAAAAUUAAAAUGUACAAGGAGGCAGGUAAAAUUAGUUUGAAUAAUAUGUCCAAAAUACCAUCUUUUCAACAUUGCAAUUAAUAGACAAAUUCUUAAUAAGAUAUUUUGCAUUCUUUUUUUUCCACACUAAGGCUUCACUUCCAGCACAUCUUAAUUCUGACUAGUCACAUUUCAAGUGAUUAUGUGGCUGGCGUAUGUGGCUAAGGGCUACAAUACUGGACAAGGCAGGACCACUGUAAGCUGCAGUAUUUAGUUAAUAUAACUAAAGGUCCUUUCAGGUCCACUGUACGUUUUUUAUAUCAUUUUUAAAUGGCUCAAUUUAUUUAAAAGAUCUCUGUUUUCUGAAUAUUUAUAUUGCUUCCUACUUUCAUAAACCAUGCUGUCAUCAACCCUCUUGUAUUAGAGCUUUAUACCCCAUCAUUAAUUAGUUCCUUAGGAUAAAUUUCCAGAUGUGGGUAAAAGAACAUACGUAAAUUGUUAAGCUUUUAAACAUAAAUAUAUUGUUUAAUAAUAAUACCUCCCUUACAAUGUUGUUAUGAGGGUUAAGCGAGCUAGACCAUGUAAACCAAUUUUAUUAGUUCAAGUAAAGUUAAUAAGACUUCAGAUAGUAGUGCCUGGCAUAGAGAGGCACCCUGCAAAUGUCAUCUAUUAUUAGUAGUAGUAUCACUUCUUAGUUCAUCUCCAGCACUGUUACACUAACUUAUACUCCAAUUAACAACGUCUAAGAAGUGCCAUUUGCAGCACACUCCCUCUAAUACUAUUAUAUUUAGAGCCCUUUCGAACUUCAUGUGCAAAAGCAGCUUCUUGUUAUUGUUGGUUUCAUCUGACCAUAGCUCAUUUGUUUUCUUACAUUCAGGAUUAGUUUUCCUUGGAUAGAUUUGUCAUAACUUCUGCCUAUAUCCACACGUAGAGAGAGAGUUGAGUCAUUUUUCACUGAAAUGUUUACAAUAAUCAAAGACCAUUUGUAUCAGUCACCUUUCCUUGGUUAGAUUGUUACAACAAUCUGAAAGUCUCAGUGGCUUACAACAAAUAUCUAUUCUCACUCACAGUCCAUGUGAGAACCUGGGCUAAAAGAGCAGUGUCCAUUGGUGACAUGCCUUUCUCAUGGAUGACAGAAAAGGGCAAGUGAUCAAGAAUAAGAGUGAAGUCUCCAAUAACUUCUACCCUCACCAAUCUUCUGUUCACAUCUCAUUUUGCUCACGACAAAGCAAGUCAUGGCACAAGCCCAAUAUUAGUGGGGUGGAAAGUAGGUUCCAACCAUGUAAUACACUGCAUGUCACACAGCAAUGGGUGGGGAUUGAAAGGAGAGCAAUGAUUGAGAACAAUAACACAAUCUACCCCAGUAGUCAAUCAAUCCAUUAAGUCAAACUGGUUAUGUGGCUCCACCCACCUGGAGUCAGGGAUCUUUCCCUGGGACCCAUUAUAAUUCUUACAGGAGUGUUAUGACUCCUGCGCCCUAAGGGAGAUGCUGGGGUGCUGACCUGCUUCUGAGUUGCCCUGAGGAUAAAUGGAUCCAGAGAAACUCAGCUUAAAGUAAAUACAACUACAUCUCCACUCCCUGCAUGAAGGUACAAACUGGCCCAUCAAAGAAAAGAACUUUGUAUCUAAAGAAAUCAUCUCAUCGUCGACCAAUGAGGAAAUGAAAAAGCCCUGGAUGCUCUGGCAGCCACCAAACAGCUACCUUGAUUCUCUAGGAAAGAUGAUAUGACGGUCCCCUUAGAACAGGGGAGAGAGGGGUUUAUAUCCUGGCUGCAUCACCUGUAUGAUCAAUAGCUGCUGCCAUCAUCCUCCCCAUCGUGAUCGUCAUCACUGCUGCCACCAGCAUCUUUAAGGUCAAGCCAGCUGCCAUGCUCUGAACCCAGCCAAGAGCACCCUGGAUGGCCAAAGAGGCAUCUCCACCCCAGAGGACUGACUCUUGUCCUAAAGAAAGGAGCCACAGGAUCUGGUUGCCUGACCAACUGGAAAAUCACGAAGCUAUGUGAGAUUGCCUAAAAAUGUAUUCCUACACUCCUAACACUAGAGAGUUUUUGAAUUAAUAAACGUGUAUUAAAAUCACAAGCCUAUUCCACUCCAAGCCUCAAAGAAAGGAUUCCAGGAACAUGGAAAACGAAAAGGAGAGAUGCCUGUUUCCCAUGGCAAGUCGCUUCCUAUUGGCAUUAUUUAUUUAUGUAACAAGUCUUUCUGGACUGGUUAAGGGAACUGCCAAUUAUACGCACCACCUUUCUCCAGGUUACAGAGAAGCAUGACGUUUCUCCUUGCUCCACGUGGGAGCACCUGGGCUGGAAACCCUUGUCCUGACAACCAGACUCUUCCCCAGGUUUGUCUGCCUCUGGAAGGAUUCAGUGCUCAUUCUGAACCAAUGGCAAAGGAAAGAAAAUUAAUAUGAUCCUUUUCCAUCCCACGGGGCUACUGAAUUUGCCUGAACCUUUGAAAUGGUCAGGAAUGAAAGUACAGUAUUUUCUUCUUUAUCCAUUUUCAGACUCUAAGAAUUCAAGGACCAGCUGAAAUCCCGCCUCUGCUGUGAAACCUUUUGUCAUCACGCAUGAUAUUCCUUCCUCCAAAACCCAACGGGUAUUUCCUGACUUUACUACCCCUUCAUCGGCUCUGCCUUCACUCCUGGUGAUGUCAGUUAACUUCCAGAGUGGACUGCAGCAGGUAGGGAUUAUACAGGUUCAGGCCAACCUCCCUCUCUCAGGGUGCACAGCAAUUGGUUCAGGGGUGAGCCUGUGAUGCCAGCACGACUAUUCAGCAUUUGCUCUGCAUAAUUAAAAUUAAAGUUGGAAGAGAGACCCUCCCAUCUUCUCUGGGUCAUGAGCUAUAAGGAGAGUUUAGGCCUGGAAUUUCUUAAGGCUCUCUUCCCUGGACUUGGGCAGAAAGCACAG